GGGAAAGUGGCUCAGUGGUAGAGUGCUUGCUUCACAUGCAUGAGGCCUGGGUUCAAUUCCUCAGCACCA
RNAcentral lists this transfer RNA (69 nucleotides) under Dipodomys ordii (Ord's kangaroo rat). It matches the Rfam family "tRNA". From Rfam's summary of the family: Transfer RNA (tRNA) molecules are approximately 80 nucleotides in length. Their secondary structure includes four short double-helical elements and three loops (D, anti-codon, and T loops). The record is from Rfam by way of RNAcentral. Lineage: Eukaryota; Metazoa; Chordata; Mammalia; Rodentia; Heteromyidae.